GAGGAACAAUGCUGGGAAAAUGCUCCAGGGCUUUCUUCAGCUCAAAAGCACCUACUCAAGGUCCUCGUGAAGUCUUAGAAAUCAAAACACAUUUCAUCUCUUCCAGGAAGACAUUCCUUAAGAGAGCUGACAAGACAAUGUUCAAAAGUCAUCCCCUGUCCUAUCACUUACAAGAAAAAUUUUGCUGACGUAGGAUAAUGCAUCAAGAUUGUCUCAGAAUACUGCAAAUCGGCUAUAUAUUCCUAAUUCCACCUGGCAUUUCCUCGCCCACACAAUCAUAGGAAAAGCAGAGAACAGGGAUCCAGCCCAGCAAAGAAGAAUUAAAUUGCACGUGGAUCCAUGAGGCUAAAGAGGGUAAAAAUGAUCCAGACGGCACCAGCCAUGUGAUACCAUUUCUAAAAACAGCAGUAUGUUCUCGCAGUGAUUGACUGAUUACUUAAACUGCAGUGUCUGAGUCUUCCAGCAGAUACAUGAAGCUUACUGGGGCUGAUUUCUGUGCAAAGCCCUCUUCAGCACCCAUGGAAAUGAGAGGCAGACAGAGACUCCUAGGUGUUGCCAUCACAAGAAAGGUGCCACUUCCCCAGGAUUUCAGAUCUCUCAACCAAAAUGAAGAGGAAAUUGUGGCAGAGAUGAAGUAUUGUGAAAGAUUGUGAGGACAACAUUUCUUGAUUACCUCUCAGUCCAACAAUGCACACACUAGACCUUGAGAUGGAUUAAAUGAUACCCCUUUCACAGAAUUGGAGAGAAUGUGCUUUUCUUGUGAGCCCUUAUACUGCUCUUGUAUAGAUUCUGAGACAAGUGGCUCUGGUUGCUUCUGUUCCCAGAGGUGGCCUCUUCUGUACCACGUGACCACCUCAGAUGACUGGAUGGAAGGUAGGUGUCCUGGCAUGAAGACUAAAUGGCAUUGCAGAUGACUAAUUGGAAGAACUGGACCAUAGUAUUUUCCCUCUUGGGGAAUCAGCAAGUGAGUCAUGGAGGCAGUGUGGGCAGUAGCUGGUAUGAAAGCUGCAGGCAAAUAUUAGGGAGUAGCAGAGGCAAGAGACAGCUGCACUAAGCAGGGGAGUCCCAAGGAGAUUCCCUGAUGUCUCCUGCCGAGAUGAUAAAGAAGGGACAGUCACCAGGGCUGCCUCAGAUCUUGAGUGAGCUUUCAGAUACCAGCUCUUCUCAUCACAGGGAGGCCAAGCUCUCCUGCAAUUCCUAUUUGAGUUGGUCAUCUUUCACUUUCUUCUGUCAGAUUUCUUUCUCCCUUCUUUUAGUUAUAGCAUCUCUAAUAUUCUUCCAGGGAAACAAUACUUCCCCACGUUCAGUCCAUUUGGGUUGGGUAGAGUGGACCCCAACUUUCAUUUCCAAGGGUCAGUAUGUGACCCAGGCCUGGAUAAUCAGAA
Molecule: long non-coding RNA, 1385 nt
Filed under: Homo sapiens (human)
Lineage: Eukaryota; Metazoa; Chordata; Mammalia; Primates; Hominidae
Description: HSALNT0151192
Source: RNAcentral